This 497-nucleotide ribosomal RNA is filed under the name uncultured bacterium. RNAcentral describes it as "partial 16S ribosomal RNA". It matches the Rfam family "Bacterial small subunit ribosomal RNA", at positions 28 to 507 of the family's 1533-position model. The record is from RNAcentral.
GAUGAACGCUGGCGGCGUGCCUAAUACAUGCAAGUCGAGCGAACAGAUAAGGAGCUUGCUCCUUUGACGUUAGCGGCGGACGGGUGAGUAACACGUGGGUAACCUACCUAUAAGACUGGAAUAACUCCGGUAAACCGGGGCUAAUGCCGGAUAACAUUUAGAACCGCAUGGUUCUAAAGUUAAAGAUGGUUUUGCUAUCACUUAUAGAUGGACCCGCGCCGUAUUAGCUAGUUGGUAAGGUAACGGCUUACCAAGGCAACGAUACGUAGCCGACCUGAGAGGGUGAUCGGCCACACUGGAACUGAGACACGGUCCAGACUCCUACGGGAGGCAGCAGUAGGGAAUCUUCCGCAAAGGGCGAAAGCCUGACGGAGCAACGCCGCGUGAGUGAUGAAGGUCUUCGGAUCGUAAAACGCUGUUAUUAGGGAAGAACAAAUGUGGAAGUAACUGUGCACGUCUUGACGGUACCUAAUCAGAAAGCAACGGCUAACUACGUG